AGUGAACGCUGGCGGUAGGCCUAACACAUGCAAGUCGAACGGCAGCACAGGAGAGCUUGCUCUCUGGGUGGCGAGUGGCGGACGGGUGAGGAAUACAUCGGAAUCUGCCCAGUCGUGGGGGAUAACGUAGGGAAACUUACGCUAAUACCGCAUACGACCUUCGGGUGAAAGAGGGGGAUCGCAAGACCUCUCGCGAUUGGAUGAGCCGAUGUCGGAUUAGCUAGUUGGCGGGGUAAUGGCCCACCAAGGCGACGAUCCGUAGCUAGUCUGAGAGGAUGAUCAGCCACACUGGAACUGAGACACGGUCCAGACUCCUACGGGAGGCAGCAGUGGGGAAUAUUGGACAAUGGGCGCAAGCCUGAUCCAGCCAUACCGCGUGGGUGAAGAAGGCCUUCGGGUUGUAAAGCCCUUUUGUUGGGAAAGAAAUCUUUCAGGCUAAUACCCUGGGAGGAUGACGGUACCCAAAGAAUAAGCACCGGCUAACUUCGUG
This 490-nucleotide ribosomal RNA is filed under the name uncultured bacterium. RNAcentral's name for it is "partial 16S ribosomal RNA". It matches the Rfam family "Bacterial small subunit ribosomal RNA", at positions 29 to 507 of the family's 1533-position model. The record is from RNAcentral.